UACGGGGGGGGCAAGCGUUGUUCGGAAUUACUGGGCGUAAAGGGCUCGUAGGUGGCCAACUAAGUCAGACGUGAAAUCCCUCGGCUUAACCGGGGAACUGCGUCUGAUACUGGAUGGCUUGAGUUUGGGAGAGGGAUGCGGAAUUCCAGGUGUAGCGGUGAAAUGCGUAGAUAUCUGGAGGAACACCAAUUGCGAAGGCAGCUCGCUGGGACGUCACUGACGCUGAGACGCGAAAGCGUGGGGAGCAAACAGG
Molecule: ribosomal RNA, 253 nt
Filed under: uncultured bacterium
Lineage: Bacteria
Description: partial 16S ribosomal RNA
Rfam family: Bacterial small subunit ribosomal RNA
Source: RNAcentral